RNAcentral lists this long non-coding RNA (825 nucleotides) under Fukomys damarensis (Damara mole-rat). RNAcentral describes it as "lncRNA (ENSFDAG00000031963.1)". The record is from RNAcentral. Lineage: Eukaryota; Metazoa; Chordata; Mammalia; Rodentia; Bathyergidae.
GUGGGGGUGUUAAUUUUAUAUUAUGCUAUUUUUUACAUCACCAAAAAAUAAUAGGCCACUGCCAACCCAGUUAGGUCAAGAUUCCUGCUCAGAAGGUUCUCUGUACCCUAGAAAGGAUGGGUAUAGGUCACAGUGACACACACCUGUAUUCCCAGCACUCAGGAGGCUGAGGCAGGAGGAUCUCCAUGAGUCUGAGGCUAGCCUAGGCUAUAUAGUGAGACCGUGUCUCAAACAAACAAACAGAACCAAAUGAAAGAAAGAGAAUGGAAAGACAGGAGAUUCCUCUGUACAAAGAAGUCUCUGGCGAGAUCUGUUAUGGGAACGCAGUCCGGGCUUAUUUAGCAAUUCUGGCAAAACGCCUCAUGAGAAGAGCUUGCGAGCAGAGCUUUCCCGCCUGUUGAAACGCUGUGCUGGGUCUCCCUCAUUCCCUCCCAGACCGCGUCUACACGGCGGCAGCACCCUGCAGCACAGGUCCCCAGCCUGCUGAAUGCGACCCAAUCCCCGGAUGUCAGUGACCCCGGAUCGUCACACAUCAGUUUCCAUGUGCUGAGAAACUGCUGUCGGCUGAGCCCUGGCCCUGAGGAAGCGCCAACCGAGACCAGGACCACAGGCGUUUUCUGGACACCUCGGGCUUUCAUUCCACCCCUGCGCCAGCUGGGCCUCCUGCGUGCCAGGGAGACCCGUUUGUGAGUCCGCUGGGUUCCCGUUUCUGUGAGCUGUCCUGUGCUCUGGGUGGUGGGAAGGCAGGGGAAUCCAGACCCAGAUUCUGGCCCUGGCAGAUUCAGGGUCCCCGCCCAGCAGCCCCUGGGCCUCCCCUCCCCUGCC